CCUUUUAUUUUAUUUUUUUUUACUGAGUACCUUUUAUUUACAGUGCCUAUUGUUCUGUUACCUAUUAUUGGUUCUCCCCAGACUGGCGAUUGGCUGAUGGCCCCGUCAAUCCCCAGGGGAAAGGACUAACUUUCAGACACCUCGGAAAAAUAUUACUGUGAGCCCCUUCUUGUUGAAAUGUAAGAUUCUGGAGAAAACCCAAGAGAUUCGGAUAAUGGUAUUAUUUCUUGUUGAAGAUGUUCACAAAGCAAGAGGCACAUGAUCUUACUUGGAGAAGGUGAAGAGAGUUCAGAUGACAUCCCUUCCCUGUUCUUCCUCCCAAGCAUAGUUCUGUGGACAAUUUUGGUGACCAUGAAGGGACUUGGAGCUGAUUUCUCUCUUUCUGCUGAGUUCUAUGAGGAUCCAAAGCCUUGGUACCAGCAAGGACCUCUUGUGCCCAUCCACCUCCACCAGGAGUUCAGACAACUGGACAGUUGUUCUUUUACUCUGAUGCCUUUACAAAAAUGAAGCUCUUCAAGAAAGUUAAUGGAAGACCUUUUGACAAGUGCAGAUUUCUGAUAACUGUCAGAUAAUACCACUGAACCAGGACACAAAUGGAAGCACUGGUUAUAUCACCAAGGCUUUGACUGAAAUGUGAGGUUUGAGAAUUACAUAAAAUCAGAUAUAACCAGACAACUUCCGAGAACUAAAAUGGACUUUAUGGAGACAUUUCCUUAGAAAAACAGACUAAUACCUUGCUCACAGAGUUCCCAGCAACCUCACCAGGUGACUAAGAAAGGUCACUUCCUGGCAGGUGUAAGAACCUCAAGAUAUUUGGGGGAAAUUCAGAAGAGAGAAAUUCACCCAAUUCUAUAAUUGUUACAGUCAGAUCUCAUGGCAAGUCUUUGGAAUGAUAUUCCUGGCCUCAGGAGGCUUUCAAUAGUCAAUCUAAGAUUCCUUAUAGAAGCAUUAUCAAAGCACAUUGACCAGAGUGUAAAUGAUCAACCGCCAGUCUUGUUAAACUAAUGUAAACAAUCAGGUCCAAUUUAUUGAAACUAGACUUACAUUGCAAAUAAAUUAGUCUUAA
Non-coding RNA from Odocoileus virginianus texanus, 1066 nucleotides. Lineage: Eukaryota; Metazoa; Chordata; Mammalia; Artiodactyla; Cervidae. The record is from RefSeq and is a predicted model, not a curated record.